GUCUUGCUAGCUCAGUUGGUAGAGCAUGACUCAAUUUCAAGGUCAUGGGUUCAAGCCCCUUAUUGGGUG
This is a non-coding RNA of Podarcis lilfordi (Lilford's wall lizard), 69 nucleotides long. The record is from the annotation of a GenBank genome assembly. Lineage: Eukaryota; Metazoa; Chordata; Lepidosauria; Squamata; Lacertidae.